UACGUAGGGUGCAAGCGUUAUCCGGAUUUAUUGGGCGUAAAGGGCUCGUAGGCGGUUCGUCGCGUCCGGUGUGAAAGUCCAUCGCUUAACGGUGGAUCCGCGCCGGGUACGGGCGGGCUUGAGUGCGGUUGGGGAGACUGGAAUUCCCGGUGUAACGGUGGAAUGUGUAGAUAUCGGGAAGAACACCAAUGGCGAAGGCAGGUCUCUGGGCCGUUACUGACGCUGAGGAGCGAAAGCGUGGGGAGCGAACAGG
RNAcentral lists this ribosomal RNA (253 nucleotides) under uncultured bacterium. Its description in RNAcentral is "partial 16S ribosomal RNA". It matches the Rfam family "Bacterial small subunit ribosomal RNA", at positions 524 to 776 of the family's 1533-position model. The record is from RNAcentral.